UCACGUCUUGCGACGGCGGUUUCAUUAGAGUUCCCAGCUUUACCUGAUGGCAACUAAUGAUGGGGGUUGCGCUCGUUGCGCCACUUAAGGCAACACCUCACGGCACGAGCUGACGACAGCCAUGCAGCACCUGUGCAGGCUCCCGAAGGAGCACCGUGUUUCCACGGUUUCACCCUGCAUGUCAAGCCCUGGUAAGGCUCUUCGCGUUGCGUCGAAUUAAGCCACAUGCUCCGCCGCUUGUGCGGGCCCCCGUCAAUUCCUUUGAGUUUCAGCCUUGCGGCCGUACUCCCCAGGCGGGACACUUACUGCGUUAGCGACGGCACCGGGAGGGUCGCUCCCCCCGACGCCUAGUGUCCAUCGUUUACGGCGUGGACUAC
Molecule: unclassified non-coding RNA, 377 nt
Filed under: uncultured bacterium
Lineage: Bacteria
Description: contains 16S-23S intergenic spacer region
Source: RNAcentral